Molecule: ribosomal RNA, 486 nt
Filed under: uncultured bacterium
Lineage: Bacteria
Description: partial 16S ribosomal RNA
Rfam family: Bacterial small subunit ribosomal RNA
Source: RNAcentral
AUUGAACGCUGGCGGCAUGCCUUACACAUGCAAGUCGAACGGCAGCACGGGUGCUUGCACCUGGUGGCGAGUGGCGAACGGGUGAGUAAUACAUCGGAACAUGUCCUGUAGUGGGGGAUAGCCCGGCGAAAGCCGGAUUAAUACCGCAUACGAUCUACGGAUGAAAGCGGGGGACCUUCGGGCCUCGCGCUAUAGGGUUGGCCGAUGGCUGAUUAGCUAGUUGGUGGGGUAAAGGCCUACCAAGGCGACGAUCAGUAGCUGGUCUGAGAGGACGACCAGCCACACUGGGACUGAGACACGGCCCAGACUCCUACGGGAGGCAGCAGUGGGGAAUUUUGGACAAAGGGCGAAAGCCUGAUCCAGCAAUGCCGCGUGUGUGAAGAAGGCCUUCGGGUUGUAAAGCACUUUUGUCCGGAAAGAAAUCCUUGGCCCUAAUACGGUCGGGGGAUGACGGUACCGGAAGAAUAAGCACCGACUAACUACGUG